RNAcentral lists this ribosomal RNA (1017 nucleotides) under Triticum aestivum (bread wheat). RNAcentral's name for it is "partial small subunit ribosomal RNA". Lineage: Eukaryota; Viridiplantae; Streptophyta; Magnoliopsida; Poales; Poaceae. The record is from RNAcentral.
AUGGAUGCCAACAAGGACAAAGGGAAUGACAAGAUGCAUUUGAGGGAUUGGUCGUCCCAGGAGGCUCUGCGCACAUACAAGAGACGCCGUCAGCCAGAGCCUGAGCCCAAGCCCGUGGAUGUGCCGGAGCAGGCCUUCAUUUAUUCUGACUUGAAUGAGCUACUUAUAUUUGUUACUGAUACUUUCUGGAAAAGUAGGGAUAUUGGAUGGAAGCACGGCAUAAUGAUUGAUGAAAACAGACAACACUGGAAGUGUAUGUAUUGUCACCUGACUAGGUAUGGUGGUGGUGUGUCUAGACUCAAACGGCAUCUUGCUGGUGAUUUGGAUGUCAAAAUGUGCCCAAAGGUUCCAGCAGAUGUUGCUGAAAAUAUUAGGGAACAUUUGCAGAAGAAAAGAGAGAGACGAAAGACGCGAGCUGCACAGAAUGGUGUCAACAGUGUGACCAGGAGCUCUGCUGAUGAUACCAAGGCUGAGAAGGAUCCUUUACCUGUUGACUUAGAGGUGCCAACUCGAAUAGACACUUACAUUCUUGAAGAAGGCACUAACCUGACAAAUGCGGAUCAUCAGGAGCCUACCAUUUUGAUGCCUCCCUUGUUGCUACGAGGGGUAAGGGAUAUUGGGUGGGAGCAUGCAGUGGAUCUUGAUGGAAAUAAAAAACGGUGGCAGUGCAAGUGGUGUGAUUUAUGUCGAAGUGGUGGAGUAACUACAUUGAAGGCUCAUCUUACUGACAACAGCUGCCCGAAAAUUCCAAUGGAAAUGUCAAAGCAAGUGUUGCACUUCGUUGAAGAGAAAAGAGCAGCACGACAACUUUUUAAUAGGCACCCAUGGCCCCCUUACAAGAAAAUUGAUGGGGUUAGUCUUUUUUGCUCAGAAGGGAAAGAGGAGGGGACUGGAUCAUAUAAGAAUGGUCAGCAACCUUCAAAUAAUGGUAUGCAUAUGCAAACAUCAGGGAAUUGCACUAUUGACGAGGUAUACGAACCCAAUAAUUUAAUUCCUGCUGAUUCAUUUAAUUUAUGU